Lolium perenne is the source of this 4247-nucleotide non-coding RNA. The record is from RefSeq and is a predicted model, not a curated record. NCBI's taxonomy places the organism in Eukaryota, Viridiplantae, Streptophyta, Magnoliopsida, Poales, Poaceae.
CGCCUCGCAAAUUGAUGCUUCCUUCGUCAAUCCGGUGAAAACAUAAUGUUCUGCUCCCCUUCGUCAACCCGUGAAAACCGCACAUCCAAAUCUCCCACGGGAUCCUCGCCUUUAGCUCAGCAUGCCCGUGCAUGAAGCACGAUCGCAUGGCAGCAGGUCCACGGAGCCGUACCCGCAGAACACAUCCACCCCUCCAGGCCACCGACCCACCAUGUGUGGUGCGUCCUGUCCCCUCGAUCUUCCCACCGCCUCCUGCUCCGUCUGCGGCCGGGAGGAGCUGCUAGGCGGGCGUUCUCGCGCGGAGCAGUAGCAAGGGCUUGCAUCUGACGCCGGCUGAUGGAAGGCGGCGGUGUGGAGGUGCUCGGGCGAGCGCCCAGGGCUUGCCCGCCUAGAUCUGGGAGAGAUCGAGGGGGAUUUGGUGGUUAAAAGUUUGCAAGCUCAAUGCGACAUUAAAAAAACCAGAGAUGCGAGUUCAUCAAGUUCAGUGCCAAACUUUGCAAAUUGCAAUGCAGUGGAACAAGUUCUGGUCUUUCAAGUUGCCAGGGUCUGCUGGCAAGCAUGAUUACACCUCCAUGCUGAAGCAAUCAACGGUAAGGUGUUGAAAAUUUUGGAGUUCACAUGGUUGUAUUCAAGUCGACCUCUCAGAUUUUGGUGUUCUUUUCUGUGAACCAAGAAGCUCAUCCUUUAAUUUGAAUCUUUUGACUUGUUAUUUUUUCGGACAAACUGUAAUACAAUUGCUCAUGCUUUUGCCGAGUUCGGCAAAAGGGCGAGCUUGCCUAUUGUACGUGGAUUGAGCAUGGGCUGGACUUCUUAUUCGGUCUGGUUUCUAGCGACCUUGCGAAGCUAGAAGUAAUGGGAAACAUCACCAUCGUUCGAGAAAAAAGGCAUGUUAUUGUGGUUAGGGUUAGGGUUAGGGUACUUUUCGAAGGGGGGUUGUAGCCCAAUUUCGCUUCCAAGGCCCUCCGCCCCUCAACCAUACUACCGGUAUUCAGUCUAACUGCAACACGUUAGAUAUAUUGCAAGCUAAUACUAAAUUAUAGUGUUUGGGCUACUGAAGACAUACUUUAUCUUUGACUGCAAAAAUAAUGCACUAACUUGAUGGGAGCAAUUGCAUUGUCCAACUUUUUCUUAAUUAAUUAGUUUACAACUGGUUGAAUUUGUUGGAGAAGGUUGGAUGUGUUCGGCAUGUCAGUAGAGACCUAAAUUCAGUUAGUCACAUCUUAGCUAGGCUUGGUUGCACGUCGGAGUGUAUCAGAGUCUGGAUCCGUGAUGGUUACAUGUUUUUUUUUGUGUGUACAUGCAUGUUUAGGUCAAACAACCUGCUCGGCUGCUCGUGUUUUGCCAUACAACAGUUCACAUGGUAUAGAUCAGCACUUUGGAUAGUAGUCGCUGCAGCAAUGAAUGAUGCCCUGAUCUGCACUGGACUUGCGUGGAGAUGACCCACAUCAUAGCAAUGAGCUGUUGGAUGGCGGCCUAGAAGGACUUGCGUGUCCGAGUGCUUGCUUUUCUUGGAUAUAUCGAUGGAUGACCGGUUAGGCAAAGGGCAUGUCCAUCGAAUUAGAGUACUUCUGAAGAAUGCUUCAGGCGAAAUUGUGAUACUCGUCGUUGUCGUGGCUUCGUUUUGCCGGAGCUGCAGAUUCCUGAUCCAAGUGGAGCUGAGCCCACACCUCCUACCAGCAAUACGUCGUGGACGCCAGGAUUUGUUACUCGAGGAUAGUUGAAGAAAUACAACAGAAACUCCCUCUCCGUGGAGUGAUAUUCCCUAUCUUUGCAAUUACACUGACACUCCCUGUAGGAUCAUACUUCUUUUCGGUGGCCGGUGCAAGUUGAUCGAAAAUAUGAGACUGAAUUCAGAAGGUGCUCAAUAUGGAGAAAUCAAGUGUUCCAAUCAGAGAAGGCUAUCAGUUGAUACAUCAAAAUUCAGGGGGCUUGCGGGGGACACUUCAACUGGCUGUGGAGAAUUAUUUUCCUGCUUUGUUGAUUGUUUUUGUAUCAAACUGGGAUCUUUCUCUAACCAUCAUGACACUGAUACCAAUUAUCAAGCCCAAUGGAUGGAUGGAGACGAAAUUUAUCUGGGGAUUUUGUGCAGAUGCAAAGGGAGUUAUGGAUUCUCUGUUAUGAUUUUAUAUGAUGUACGAGGAGGCAAGUCCGGUGGCAGUGCACUUAUUUUCUAGAAGCAAACGGUACAAAGGACAUGCAAAUUAGCUAUGUGAAGGUGUAUAUAUACAUACCCUAUGGACGAUACAGAGGACAGAUCAAGCAAGGUGGCGACCAACGAGGAAGCCGCGGCUGUCGGCGCUGGCGUCCAUAGCUGGAUACAUUGGGGCUGCUUAGGAUCCGGUCGGACAUGGAUGCUCCCUUCUAGGUGCCUUGCCCGACGAAUAAAGUGGCGGAUAAUGGCAGCAAUUGCCGCCACUGAACGAAGACCCGAACCAUGAGGGCCAGUGUUGUCAUACCCGGCAACGACUCGCACUGCAUUGGGGGUUUUCAGAUCGAGCCAUUGUCGGUGGACAUGGUGGCGCGCCAGUUGGCUCCUGUUACAGUCAGGUUGCCAGAUGCGCCUUCUCUAGGUUGACUUGCCUCCCGGCGUCGUUGGCAGAGACGCGGGUUACACAGUGGCCACAUCGUGCGCGAGCUCGAUUGGAAGUGACGGGGACGACCAGCACCGGAGAGAAGCUAGCCAGAGGGGAGGGAAAAGAUCAAUGCACGAGCAUGGCAUGGUCAGCGUCAGACAGAUCUUCCGUCCAGAAGUUGCCUAUGUGAGUCUGACGGAUCGUGCGAUCGUGCCUCAUCUCUGGUUCAUUCCGCUGGUCACUUUGGCUGAUUUGUUUGGACUUCUCCCCUGUCACAAAUGUGGAAAUUGAGCUUCGCUGACUGCAUGAGUUCGAGUGGUCAGCUCCUGCAUAAAGAUCCAUCAGAAAUUUCCCGUAGGUCAUAGCAGAGCAUCUUUCAGUAAAAGAGGCCACGUGGAGUUAAUAACCUUGAUAUAAGGUGGAUGCACAUGGAGUCAAGCGUGAGGAGGAAUACUAUUAUAUUGAAUUCUUGAUCUGUGCUAUAUUUUCUGGUAGUUGUUGUGCUUUCAAUAAGCAUGUAUGACCUUGCAUCCUUAUAUGGUUUCAGUGAGAGAAAUAUACUGAAGGUCUCAAUAGAUUGUAUUUAUGCUUGGUUCAUUGGUAGGAAAUAGCUUACGACAUUUUUUCAGUUCUGCUUUGCCAUAAGGAGGUCAAGUAGCUUCCUCUGGCCCUCCACCUCUCCCAAGUCCAAGAGAGUCGUAUCCACGUACCAGCACCAGCAGCCCAUCAGAGCGGCUGGCAACGGCGCCUGGCGGGGAGAGUCCUUGCACGCAAUCACCUAGAGAAGGCCAUGCAACGCUAUCUCACUCGGCACCCACAAGUUUAAUUCUGGUGAUUUUUUCCCAGGUGCUCAGAUUGAUUGUUGGUGCACGGUUCAUUUGUUUUCAUGUACAGUUGGUACUAGGGAUAUACCGAGAUGGCAAUCAAAAGGAAGAGAACACGGGAUCUUUUAGUGUGAUUUGACAUGUACUUCUCUGCGUUGGGUAGAAUUAUUGCACACUUUUUUCUUCUUCCCCUCUUAUUAGGGUUGCCACUCAAUUCAAGAAUUAGGUAACUCAGGAAGAUUUGGUAGUUUUUGACCGACUUGGAAUAAGUAUGCCAAAUGUUUAGUUGUAGACCUACUAUCUCAAAUCUUCUCAAAUAUUAUUUCUUUGUUGAUCUGGUAUAGCUAUAAGAUUAUAUAUUUUACAUACAAGAGAUACAUGCCAUUCGAAUUUGGUAUACUUCCGAACAAGAGAUAUAUGCCAUUUGACUUUUUUUAAAUAUAUUUUCAAUGCCUUAAACCUUUUUCUUCCGCUUUGAAGUAAUUCACUGCAAAGUGCAUCACUUUAGCUAGAACACCCAAUCGUUUGUACUUGUGCUAAAUCGCUUCCAAUAUGGUAAUAAAAGAACAAAAAUAAUAGCAUGCUAAAUACACUUAAUAUCAGGCUGCUUAUUGGGUGUUGUUUCAUCACACAUUAGGGCAGUCAGUUAGAUGACAUAAUUGCACGGGGAGAAACUACAUGUUGUAAAAAUCACUUGCCUUCAGUGCCCUUUUUUAUAUUCAAUAAAUAUCAACAUGUAGCAAGCCGUGCCUUGCCCCGUCUUGCAAUUCUGCCCCUCCUUAGACAUUGCCUUCUUGUUCUUCUGCUGACUUCGCAUGAACUUCUCCCACUCUUGCUUCACGCAAUGUCG